CCUACGGGCGGCUGCAGUGGGGAAUAUUGGACAAUGGGGGCAACCCUGAUCCAGCAAUGCCGCGUGAGUGAUGAAGGCCUUAGGGUUGUAAAGCUCUUUUGCCAGGGAAGAUGAUGACUGUACCUGGAGAAUAAGCCCCGGCUAACUUCGUGCCAGCAGCCGCGGUAAUACGAAGGGGGCUAGCGUUGUUCGGAAUUACUGGGCGUAAAGGGCGCGUAGGCGGCCGUUUAAGUUAGGUGUGAAAGUCCUGGGCUCAACCUGGGGACUGCACUUAAUACUGGAUGGCUUGAAUUCGGGAGAGGAUAGCGGAAUUCCCAGUGUAGAGGUGAAAUUCGUAGAUAUUGGGAAGAACACCGGUGGCGAAGGCGGCUAUCUGGACCGACAUUGACGCUGAGGCGCGAAAGCGUGGGGAGCAAACAGGAUUAGAUACCCCUGUAGUC
Molecule: ribosomal RNA, 440 nt
Filed under: uncultured Dongia sp.
Lineage: Bacteria; Pseudomonadati; Pseudomonadota; Alphaproteobacteria; Rhodospirillales; Dongiaceae
Description: bacterial SSU rRNA
Rfam family: Bacterial small subunit ribosomal RNA
Source: RNAcentral